AUGAUAAAAAUAUAUAUAUUUUUUAAGUAAUUAUUUGGUGUAAAACAUAUUUUUCUUUUUUUUUUAUAGGCAUGCAGAUCACUGAUCAACUUUAAAGCCAGAAUAUCUCAGCUGCAGUCGUCAGUCCACUGGAGUGACCGGUGUCUGAAGAAGAGAUUACCCUGAGAUCCCCUGAAAAUCUGAAGAUGAGCAAGACUUCUUGAAUAAAGAAUUACUGUGCAUCUAACCUAAACCCAGCUGAGAUGAUAGAAGGAGCCGAGAAGUGCUCAGCAGCUCUGGAAUUCUUAAAAGAUCCAUUCCUGGGGACCACCCUAUCAAACAAAAGAGUCACUGUGGAUCUGGAGCCCAGCAGAAGUCCGACAGGGCACAAUGUUCAUCACAGGCUUUUCGGUAUUCCGCCAGUGGUGUUCCAUCAAAGUGAAGGCCUUUCGCCUGCAGAACCAAAAAACUCUCCGUUCUGCCUGACACACACUGACAGCUCACCCCAAACCCACCUCCAGGGCACGGCCUCACACACCCGGAGAGAUCCAGCCAAUUAAAAACUCAUGAGACUCUAAUGUGUGUGUGUGUGUGUGUGUCCCUUCUGUCUCGCUCUCCCUGUCCGUCUCCUUUCUCGCAGGUGUGUUUUGUGGAAUAGGCUUGUUUGCCCCGUG
This 653-nucleotide long non-coding RNA is filed under the name Astyanax mexicanus (Mexican tetra). RNAcentral describes it as "lncRNA (ENSAMXG00005014998.1)". Lineage: Eukaryota; Metazoa; Chordata; Actinopteri; Characiformes; Acestrorhamphidae. The record is from RNAcentral.